RNAcentral lists this ribosomal RNA (253 nucleotides) under uncultured bacterium. RNAcentral's name for it is "partial 16S ribosomal RNA". It matches the Rfam family "Bacterial small subunit ribosomal RNA", at positions 524 to 776 of the family's 1533-position model. The record is from RNAcentral.
UACGUAGGGUGCAAGCGUUGUCCGGAAUUAUUGGGCGUAAAGAGCUCGUAGGCGGUCUGUCGCGUCGGCUGUGAAAUCCCGAGGCUCAACCUCGGGUCUGCAGUCGAUACGGGCAAACUGGAGUGUUGCAGGGGAGACUGGAAUUCCUGGUGUAGCGGUGAAAUGCGCAGAUAUCAGGAGGAACACCGGUGGCGAAGGCGGGACUCUGGGCCGAUACUGACGCUGAGGAGCGAAAGCGUGGGGAGCGAACAGG